RNAcentral lists this ribosomal RNA (358 nucleotides) under uncultured bacterium. RNAcentral describes it as "bacterial SSU rRNA". It matches the Rfam family "Bacterial small subunit ribosomal RNA", at positions 30 to 384 of the family's 1533-position model. The record is from RNAcentral.
AUUGAACGCUGGCGGCAGGCCUAACACAUGCAAGUCGAGCGGAUGAGUGGAGCUUGCUCCAUGAUUCAGCGGCGGACGGGUGAGUAAUGCCUAGGAAUCUGCCUGGUAGUGGGGGACAACGUUUCGAAAGGAACGCUAAUACCGCAUACGUCCUACGGGAGAAAGCAGGGGACCUUCGGGCCUUGCGCUAUCAGAUGAGCCUAGGUCGGAUUAGCUAGUAGGUGAGGUAAUGGGCUCACCUUAGGCGACGAUCCGUAACUGGUCUGAGAGGAUGAUCAGUCACACUGGAACUGACGACACGGUCCCAGACUCCUACGGGAGGCAGCAGUGGGGAAUAUUGGACAAUGGGCGAAAGCCU